AAAGUACACCCUCGUUCAAUUCCAUAUUUUUAUUUAUCAGGGCCUAAAUAACAAUUGUGCGGUCCUCACCAACUUCAAUCAACAAGCAAAAAACAAAACAAAUUUCAACAUGUAGUCAUUUUCCAUUUAGUCAAAUAGAAACCAACAUUCUGAAACCAGGUGGGAAAAAAUAAGUAUACCCUUCCUAUGUCCAUAAAAUUAAGAGAGUUAUUAGUAGCCAGAUGUUUCCAGUGAAAUGCACAAGAUUAGUCAAUCAUCAAGAAGAGUGAGCAUAUUUAUAAAAGCAGAUUUGGCAGUUUGGUUUUCCUGGAGCUCUCAGGUGUGUUUCUAAAUCAUGCCAAGAGGAAAGGACAUCAGCCAUGACCUCAGAGAAGCAAUUAUUGCUACUCGUUAAUCUAGGAAGGGUUAUAAGGCCAUCUCCAAGCUAUUUGAAAUUCACCAUUCUACAGUGAGAAGGAUUGUUUACAAAUGGAGAGUUCAGUUCAGUGUUAUUUGUGUAGUGUGUUUAACAGUGGACAUUGUCCCAGAGCAGCGUUACAGAAAUAUAUACACUCAGGAUAUAGAUGUUAAAUGUAUGAAUUUAUCUCUAAUGAACAGCGAGAGGUGACGGUGGUGAGGAAAAACUCCCUGAGACGAUAUGAGGAAGAAACCUCGAGAGGAACCGGACUCAAAAGGAAGCUGUCCUCAAGUCUGUUGUGUUGAACUUCUCCACUGUUCACUGAUGGAGACUCGAGUGCAGAACUGUUUGUGGUAAUUGAAGUGCUAAAGCUAUCAUAGCAUAACUGUUCAUAUGAACUGAGGUCCAGAGCAUCUUUAUGGUGUUUAAGUGGAACCGUCCUCAGUAAUCUCAGUGAUCUUUAUACUGCACCAUGUGGGACAUCCUCAGCAGCAGCAUGUGACUCCAACUGAUGAGAACUCCAACCAGAAGAAGAGCAUCAGGACGGAUCAGGCAGGUCCGGAGAGCAGAAGGGGUCAGGAUCACUGGCAUCUCAGGAGUAUCAUAGAGAGAGAGAGAGAGAGAGAGAGAGAGAGAGAGAGAGAGAGAGAGAGAGAGAGAGAGAUCCCUUUUAGUUAUGCUAGCUAUGACAUCAUAACUAAAAGGGAGAACCAGAAGGGAACACAGACAUGAGGGAUCUCUGGGACAUAAGGUGACCAGCCUCUCCAUCAUCAACACACCUGGGUGAAGGUGUGAAAGGUGGGGGUGGGGGGUGACAGCAUCCAAACAUCCCAGUUCACCGCAACAGUCUCUACCUGUGAUCCUCUAGAUCUGCUCCUUUACCUAAGAACAAAACUAUUCACAGAAAGCUUGACUAAAAUUAAUCAGAUGAUCACAUGUGAAAUGCAGUGAUUUGUAUGUAAGGGAAGAAGUUUUCUAGUCAGG
Ictalurus punctatus (channel catfish) is the source of this 1381-nucleotide long non-coding RNA. Lineage: Eukaryota; Metazoa; Chordata; Actinopteri; Siluriformes; Ictaluridae. The record is from Ensembl.